This 3013-nucleotide ribosomal RNA is filed under the name Salmonella enterica subsp. salamae serovar 42:r:-. Its description in RNAcentral is "23S ribosomal RNA". It matches the Rfam family "Bacterial large subunit ribosomal RNA". Lineage: Bacteria; Pseudomonadati; Pseudomonadota; Gammaproteobacteria; Enterobacterales; Enterobacteriaceae. The record is from RNAcentral.
GGGUUGUGAGGUUAAGCGACCAAGCGUACACGGUGGAUGCCCUGGCAGUCAGAGGCGAUGAAGGACGUGCUAAUCUGCGAUAAGCGCCGGUAAGGUGAUAUGAACCGUUAUAACCGGCGAUUUCCGAAUGGGGAAACCCAGUGUGAUUCGUCACACUAUCAUUAACUGAAUCCAUAGGUUAAUGAGGCGAACCGGGGGAACUGAAACAUCUAAGUACCCCGAGGAAAAGAAAUCAACCGAGAUUCCCCCAGUAGCGGCGAGCGAACGGGGAGGAGCCCAGAGCCUGAAUCAGCAUGUGUGUUAGUGGAAGCGUCUGGAAAGGCGCGCGAUACAGGGUGACAGCCCCGUACACAAAAGCGCAUAUGCUGUGAGCUCGAUGAGUAGGGCGGGACACGUGGUAUCCUGUCUGAAUAUGGGGGGACCAUCCUCCAAGGCUAAAUACUCCUGACUGACCGAUAGUGAACCAGUACCGUGAGGGAAAGGCGAAAAGAACCCCGGCGAGGGGAGUGAAACAGAACCUGAAACCGUGUACGUACAAGCAGUGGGAGCACAGGUUUACCUGUGUGACUGCGUACCUUUUGUAUAAUGGGUCAGCGACUUAUAUUCUGUAGCAAGGUUAACCGCAUAGGGGAGCCGAAGGGAAACCGAGUCUUAAUUGGGCGUUAAGUUGCAGGGUAUAGACCCGAAACCCGGUGAUCUAGCCAUGGGCAGGUUGAAGGUUGGGUAACACUAACUGGAGGACCGAACCGACUAAUGUUGAAAAAUUAGCGGAUGACCUGUGGCUGGGGGUGAAAGGCCAAUCAAACCGGGAGAUAGCUGGUUCUCCCCGAAAGCUAUUUAGGUAGCGCCUCGUGAACUCAUCUCCGGGGGUAGAGCACUGUUUCGGCUAGGGGGCCAUCCCGGCUUACCAACCCGAUGCAAACUGCGAAUACCGGAGAAUGUUAUCACGGGAGACACACGGCGGGUGCUAACGUCCGUCGUGAAGAGGGAAACAACCCAGACCGCCAGCUAAGGUCCCAAAGUCAUGGUUAAGUGGGAAACGAUGUGGGAAGGCCCAGACAGCCAGGAUGUUGGCUUAGAAGCAGCCAUCAUUUAAAGAAAGCGUAAUAGCUCACUGGUCGAGUCGGCCUGCGCGGAAGAUGUAACGGGGCUAAACCAUGCACCGAAGCUGCGGCAGCGAACGUAUCACUUAAAACGAUUCAGAAGCUUACGAUUGACGGAGCGAAGCGACGUCAAAGCGUAUACAAAGUCGAGUCGGUUUAAGGAUACGUUCGUUGGGUAGGGGAGCGUUCUGUAAGCCUGCGAAGGUGGCCUGUGAGGGUUGCUGGAGGUAUCAGAAGUGCGAAUGCUGACAUAAGUAACGAUAAAGCGGGUGAAAAGCCCGCUCGCCGGAAGACCAAGGGUUCCUGUCCAACGUUAAUCGGGGCAGGGUGAGUCGACCCCUAAGGCGAGGCCGAAAGGCGUAGUCGAUGGGAAACGGGUUAAUAUUCCCGUACUUGGUGUUACUGCGAAGGGGGGACGGAGAAGGCUAUGUUGGCCGGGCGACGGUUGUCCCGGUUUAAGCGUGUAGGCUGACUUUCCAGGCAAAUCCGGAGAGUCAAGGCUGAGGCGUGACGACGAGGCACCACGGUGCUGAAGCAACAAAUGCCCUGCUUCCAGGAAAAGCCUCUAAGCAUCAGGUAACAUCAAAUCGUACCCCAAACCGACACAGGUGGUCAGGUAGAGAAUACCAAGGCGCUUGAGAGAACUCGGGUGAAGGAACUAGGCAAAAUGGUGCCGUAACUUCGGGAGAAGGCACGCUGACACGUAGGUGAAGUGAUUUACUCAUGGAGCUGAAGUCAGUCGAAGAUACCAGCUGGCUGCAACUGUUUAUUAAAAACACAGCACUGUGCAAACACGAAAGUGGACGUAUACGGUGUGACGCCUGCCCGGUGCCGGAAGGUUAAUUGAUGGGGUCAGCGCAAGCGAAGCUCCUGAUCGAAGCCCCGGUAAACGGCGGCCGUAACUAUAACGGUCCUAAGGUAGCGAAAUUCCUUGUCGGGUAAGUUCCGACCUGCACGAAUGGCGUAAUGAUGGCCAGGCUGUCUCCACCCGAGACUCAGUGAAAUUGAACUCGCUGUGAAGAUGCAGUGUACCCGCGGCAAGACGGAAAGACCCCGUGAACCUUUACUAUAGCUUGACACUGAACAUUGAGCCUUGAUGUGUAGGAUAGGUGGGAGGCUUUGAAGCGUGGACGCCAGUCUGCGUGGAGCCGGCCUUGAAAUACCACCCUUUAAUGUUUGAUGUUCUAACGUGGACCCGUGAUCCGGGUUGCGGACAGUGUCUGGUGGGUAGUUUGACUGGGGCGGUCUCCUCCUAAAGAGUAACGGAGGAGCACGAAGGUUGGCUAAUCCUGGUCGGACAUCAGGAGGUUAGUGCAAUGGCAUAAGCCAGCUUGACUGCGAGCGUGACGGCGCGAGCAGGUGCGAAAGCAGGUCAUAGUGAUCCGGUGGUUCUGAAUGGAAGGGCCAUCGCUCAACGGAUAAAAGGUACUCCGGGGAUAACAGGCUGAUACCGCCCAAGAGUUCAUAUCGACGGCGGUGUUUGGCACCUCGAUGUCGGCUCAUCACAUCCUGGGGCUGAAGUAGGUCCCAAGGGUAUGGCUGUUCGCCAUUUAAAGUGGUACGCGAGCUGGGUUUAGAACGUCGUGAGACAGUUCGGUCCCUAUCUGCCGUGGGCGCUGGAGAACUGAGGGGGGCUGCUCCUAGUACGAGAGGACCGGAGUGGACGCAUCACUGGUGUUCGGGUUGUCAUGCCAAUGGCACUGCCCGGUAGCUAAAUGCGGAAGAGAUAAGUGCUGAAAGCAUCUAAGCACGAAACUUGCCCCGAGAUGAGUUCUCCCUGAGACUUUAAGUCUCCUGAAGGAACGUUGAAGACGACGACGUUGAUAGGCCGGGUGUGUAAGCGCAGCGAUGCGUUGAGCUAACCGGUACUAAUGAACCGUGAGGCUUAACCUUACAACGCCGAAGCUGUU